GGGGAUGUAGUUAACAAUAACAUUUAAUUUGCAAUUAAAAAGAACUAAGCUAAAGUCUUCCUCA
Molecule: transfer RNA, 64 nt
Filed under: Antilochus russus
Lineage: Eukaryota; Metazoa; Arthropoda; Insecta; Hemiptera; Pyrrhocoridae
Description: tRNA-Ala
Rfam family: tRNA
About the family: Transfer RNA (tRNA) molecules are approximately 80 nucleotides in length. Their secondary structure includes four short double-helical elements and three loops (D, anti-codon, and T loops).
Source: RNAcentral